AAACCCUGAAAUCCCUGCCCUAACUUGGGGGUCGUUCUUUGUCUGGAGGGGUGGGUGACAGUGAGGUGGUUUGGUAAUUUUGGGGUCCAUCGUCAGUUGUAAGUUCCUACGGGAGGCAGCAGUGGGGAAUAUUGGACAAUGGGCGAAAGCCUGAUCCAGCCAUGCCGCGUGUGUGAAGAAGGUCUUCGGAUUGUAUUCACUUUAAGUUGGGAGGAAGGGCAGUAAGUUAAUACCUUGCUGUUUGACGUACCGACAGAAUACGCCGUAGCUAGC
Molecule: ribosomal RNA, 273 nt
Filed under: sludge granule bacterium 7
Lineage: Bacteria
Description: partial 16S ribosomal RNA
Rfam family: Bacterial small subunit ribosomal RNA
Source: RNAcentral